UACGAAGGGUGCAAGCGUUGUUCGGAAUUCUUGGGCUUAAAGGGUUCGUGGGCGGGAUUGUAAGUCAAGUGUGAAAUCCCCGAGCUUAACUCGGGACGUGCAUUUGAAACUGUGAUUCUUGAGUCAUUGAGAGGGUGGUGGAAUUGUUGGUGUAGGAGUGACAUCCGUAGAGAUCAACAGGAACAUCAGAGGCGAAAGCGGCCACCUGGCAAUGUACUGACGCUGAGGAACGAAAGCGUGGGGAGCAAACAGG
This 253-nucleotide ribosomal RNA is filed under the name uncultured bacterium. RNAcentral describes it as "partial 16S ribosomal RNA". It matches the Rfam family "Bacterial small subunit ribosomal RNA", at positions 524 to 776 of the family's 1533-position model. The record is from RNAcentral.